GACAAUGAAAAGGACUCAUUUCCUAAAAGCUAUCAAAACAUAAUCAAGGGAAGAAGGGAUCUAAAACGUAUCAUGUAUUGUGAGUAGGACAUCGUCAAAGAACAACAGGGAUACAUCACAUUCUCCUUUAUAGGUUGUCACUGUUAAAGAAGAGCUAAAUAUCUUAAUGAUCUUAUUCACUUAAAUAUCAAAACAUACCAGAUUUGUGCUUCUCUAUUUUGACACACACACACACUCAUUCUCCUUCUCUCAGUAUGUUAACUCUAAUCUCCCGAAUCCUGGCACACACAUGAUAUACUAUAAUAGGACACCUACAUUUUAACACUAUUGAGUUAAGGGACCUAAGGGCCAAGGCAUCACCAGUGGCAUCAUUUUAAAGGAGAUGUCGUUGGAGGAGAAUGUUCUUUCGUAGCUCCUACAAAUACUGGUUGCCUAGCUGCCGAUCUUGUAUACACCUAUGGUUUCAAUGGCGUAGUCCUAAUCAAUUAACUUCUGUUUUUUCUUCCUGGAAACAGAAUCCAGAGUUGUAGAUUCAUUGUUUGCUUUUCUCCUUAACUCGUUCAAGUCUUCCUCACUGACCAAGCCAUUCAGCUUCUUGUUCAAUGCAUAUGCUUCACCAAGUCUCAUCUUACAUUCUUUGCUUGCAGAAUCAUGGGAAACAACUGGUUUGGGAUAAUCUACGCCAAUGAUGCAUUUUGCUUUACGUUGGACACUUAUAGGAGCAGUCCAAGGCUCAUAUAUAUACUCCUUAGGCAUAUCUUUUAAAACAGGAAGAAAAUGCCUGAUAUAGUUCCCGGCAGGAUCAUACUUUUUUCCAAAUGAGAUUGGUGAAUAAAUCCGAUUAUACUGGUAGAAAAAUGAAGAGCAUGAUAGCCACAACCAGUUUCCGUUGUUGAUUGCCCAAUCAGAGUCAAUAAGCAGUCUUUCAAAAACAUGACGUCCUCUCUCCCAAUGCACAAACAGA
Molecule: unclassified non-coding RNA, 964 nt
Filed under: Hevea brasiliensis (rubber tree)
Lineage: Eukaryota; Viridiplantae; Streptophyta; Magnoliopsida; Malpighiales; Euphorbiaceae
Source: RNAcentral